RNAcentral lists this unclassified non-coding RNA (544 nucleotides) under Helicoarthrosporum mellicola. RNAcentral describes it as "sequence contains 28S rRNA gene". It matches the Rfam family "Eukaryotic large subunit ribosomal RNA", at positions 77 to 632 of the family's 3401-position model. Lineage: Eukaryota; Fungi; Ascomycota; Eurotiomycetes; Onygenales; Helicoarthrosporaceae. The record is from RNAcentral.
GCCUCAGUAACGGCGAGUGAAGCGGCAACAGCUCAAAUUUGAAAUCUGGCUCCCCUUGGGGGUCCGAGUUGUAAUUUGCAGAGGAUGCUUCGGGUGCGGCCACGGCUUAAGUCCCCUGGAACGGGGCGUCAUAGAGGGUGAGAAUCCCGUCUUGAGCCGCCGGUACGUGCCCGCGUGAAGCUCCUUCGACGAGUCGAGUUGUUUGGGAAUGCAGCUCUAAAUGGGUGGUAAAUUUCAUCUAAAGCUAAAUACUGGCUGGAGACCGAUAGCGCACAAGUAGAGUGAUCGAAAGGUUAAAAGCACCUUGAAAAGGGAGUUAAAUAGCACGUGAAAUUGUUGAAAGGGAAGCGCUUGCGACCAGACUCGGCCGCGGAGGCUCAGCGGGCACUCGUUGCCCGUGCACUCCCCCGCGGUCGGGCCAGCAUCGGUUCUGGCGGCCGGUCAAAGGCCCCUGGAAUGUGUCGCCUCUCGGGGCGUCUUAUAGCCAGGGGUGCAAUGCGGCCUGCCGGGACCGAGGAACGCGCUUCGGCUCGGAUGCUGGCGU